CCUACGGGAGGCAGCAGUGGGGAAUUUUGGACAAUGGGCGAAAGCCUGAUCCAGCAAUGCCGCGUGCAGGAUGAAGGCCUUCGGGUUGUAGACUGCUUUUGUACGGAACGAAACGGUCUUUUCUAAUACAGAAGGCUAAUGACGGUACCGUAAGAAUAAGCACCGGCUAACUACGUGCCAGCAGCCGCGGUAAUACGUAGGGUGCAAGCGUUAAUCGGAAUUACUGGGCGUAAAGCGUGCGCAGGCGGUUAUGUAAGACAGUUGUGAAAUCCCCGGGCUCAACCUGGGAAUUGCAUCUGUGACUGCAUAGCUAGAGUACGGUAGAGGGGGAUGGAAUUCCGCGUGUAGCAGUGAAAUGCGUAGAUAUGCGGAGGAACACCGAUGGCGAAGGCAAUCCCCUGGACCUGUACUGACGCUCAUGCACGAAAGCGUGGGGAGCAAACAGGAUUAGAUACCCUGGUAGUCCACGCCCUAAACGAUGUCAACUGGUUGUUGGGUCUUCACUGACUCAGUAACGAAGCUAACGCGUGAAGUUGACCGCCUGGGGAGUACGGCCGCGAAGGUUGAAACUCAAAGGAAUUGACGGCGNGAGAGAGCGAGACGACGACGAGGGAGGAGG
This 619-nucleotide ribosomal RNA is filed under the name uncultured bacterium. RNAcentral's name for it is "bacterial SSU rRNA". It matches the Rfam family "Bacterial small subunit ribosomal RNA", at positions 338 to 951 of the family's 1533-position model. The record is from RNAcentral.